RNAcentral lists this ribosomal RNA (388 nucleotides) under uncultured bacterium. RNAcentral describes it as "bacterial SSU rRNA". It matches the Rfam family "Bacterial small subunit ribosomal RNA", at positions 29 to 409 of the family's 1533-position model. The record is from RNAcentral.
AAUGAACGCUGGCGGCGCGCCUAAUACAUGCAAGUCGAGCGAGAAGACGUAGCAAUACGUUUGUAAAGCGGCGAACGGGUGAGGAAUACAUGGGUAACCUACCCUAGAGUGGGGAAUAACUAGCCGAAAGGUUAGCUAAUACCGCGUACGCUCCUUGGACUUCGGUUCAGGGAGGAAAGCGAUGCCGAGGGUAUCGCGCUCUUGGAUGGACUCAUGUCCUAUCAGCUUGUUGGGAGGUAACGGCUCACCAAAGCUUCGACGGGUAGCUGGUCUGAGAGGACGAUCAGCCACACUGGCACUGCGACACGGGCCAGACUCCUACGGGAGGCAGCAGUAAGGAUAUUGCGCAAUGGGCGAAAGCCUGACGCAGCGACGCCGCGUGGGGGAU